This 513-nucleotide ribosomal RNA is filed under the name uncultured bacterium. RNAcentral describes it as "partial 16S ribosomal RNA". It matches the Rfam family "Bacterial small subunit ribosomal RNA", at positions 30 to 523 of the family's 1533-position model. The record is from RNAcentral.
AUUGAACGCUGGCGGCAUGCCUAAUACAUGCAAGUCGAGCGAACAGAUAAGGAGCUCGCUCCUUUGAAGUUAGCGGCGGACGGGUGAGUAACACGUGGGUAACCUACCUAUAAGACUGGGAUAACUUCGGGAAACCGGAGCUAAUACCGGAUAACAUUUAGAACCGCAUGGUUCUAAAGUGAAAGAUGGUUUUGCUAUCACUUAUAGAUGGACCUGCGCCGUAUUAGCUAGUUGGUAAGGUAACGGCUUACCAAGGCGACGAUACGUAGCCGACCUGAGAGGGUGAUCGGCCACACUGGAACUGAGACACGGUCCAGACUCCUACGGGAGGCAGCAGUAGGGAAUCUUCCGCAAUGGGCGAAAGCCUGACGGAGCAACGCCGCGUGAGUGAUGAAGGGUUUCGGCUCGUAAAACUCUGUUAUUAGGGAAGAACAAAUGUGUAAGUAACUGUGCGCAUCUUGACGGUACCUAAUCAGAAAGCCACGGCUAACUACGUGCCAGCCGCCGCGGUAA